CCUGGGAACUGCGUUNUGAACUGGGUGACUAGAGUGUGUCAGAGGGAGGUAGAAUUNCACGUGUAGCAGUGAAAUGCGUAGAGAUGUGGAGGAAUACCGAUGGCGAAGGCAGCCUCCUGGGAUAACACUGACGUUCAUGCUCGAAAGCGUGGGUAGCAAACAGGAUUAGAUACCCUGGUAGUCCACGCCCUAAACGAUGUCAAUUAGCUGUUGGGCAACUUGAUUGCUUAGUAGCGUAGCUAACGCGUGAAAUUGACCGCCUGGGGAGUACGGUCGCAAGAUUAAAACUCAAAGGAAUUGACGGGGACCCGCACAAGCGGUGGAUGAUGUGGAUUAAUUCGAUGCAACGCGAAGAACCUUACCUGGUCUUGACAUGUACGGAAUCCUCCAGAGACGGAGGAGUGCCUUCGGGAGCCGUAACACAGGUGCUGCAUGGCUGUCGUCAGCUCGUGUCGUGAGAUGUUGGGUUAAGUCCCGCAACGAGCGCAACCCUUGUCAUUAGUUGCCAUCAUUUAGUUGGGCACUCUAAUGAGACUGCCGGUGACAAGCCGGAGGAAGGUGGGGAUGACGUCAAGUCCUCAUGGCCCUUAUGACCAGGGCUUCACACGUCAUACAAUGGUCGGUACAGAGGGUAGCCAAGCCGCGAGGUGGAGCCAAUCUCACAAAACCGAUCGUAGUCCGGAUUGCACUCUGCAACUCGAGUGCAUGAAGUCGGAAUCGCUAGUAAUCGCAGGUCAGCAUACUGCGGUGAAUACGUUCCCGGGUCUUGUACACACCGCCCGUCACACCAUGGGAGUGGGGGAUACCAGAAGUAGGUAGG
This 820-nucleotide ribosomal RNA is filed under the name uncultured bacterium. RNAcentral's name for it is "bacterial SSU rRNA". It matches the Rfam family "Bacterial small subunit ribosomal RNA", at positions 613 to 1434 of the family's 1533-position model. The record is from RNAcentral.